RNAcentral lists this ribosomal RNA (492 nucleotides) under uncultured bacterium. RNAcentral describes it as "partial 16S ribosomal RNA". It matches the Rfam family "Bacterial small subunit ribosomal RNA", at positions 31 to 507 of the family's 1533-position model. The record is from RNAcentral.
AGGGAACGCUGGCGGUAGGCCUAACACAUGCAAGUCGAACGGCAGCACGGUAAGAGCUUGCUCUUACGGGUGGCGAGUGGCGGACGGGUGAGGAAUACAUCGGAAUCUACUUUUUCGUGGGGGAUAACGUAGGGAAACUUACGCUAAUACCGCAUACGACCUACGGGUGAAAGCAGGGGAUCUUCGGACCUUGCGCGAUUGAAUGAGCCGAUGUCGGAUUAGCUAGUUGGCGGGGUAAAGGCCCACCAAGGCGACGAUCCGUAGCUGGUCUGAGAGGAUGAUCAGCCACACUGGAACUGAGACACGGUCCAGACUCCUACGGGAGGCAGCAGUGGGGAAUAUUGGACAAUGGGCGCAAGCCUGAUCCAGCCAUACCGCGUGGGUGAAGAAGGCCUUCGGGUUGUAAAGCCCUUUUGUUGGGAAAGAAAAGCAGCAGGUUAAUACCCCGCUGUUCUGACGGUACCCAAAGAAUAAGCACCGGCUAACUUCGUG